UCAGGACGAACGCUGGCGGCGUGCUUAACACAUGCAAGUGGAGCGACGAACCAGGCUUCGGCUUGGGGCAAAGCCGCGAACGGGUGAGUAACACGUGGGUAACCUGCCCUGAUGAUCGGGACAACCCGGGGAAACCCGGGCUAAUACCGAAUGUGCCCACGAGCCACAAGGCUCGUGCGGAAAGGAAGCUUCGGCCUCCGCAUCGGGAUGGGCCCGCGGCCCAUUAGCUUGUUGGUGGGGUAACGGCCUACCAAGGCGACGAUGGGUAGCUGGUCUGAGAGGACGAUCAGCCACACUGGGACUGAGACACGGCCCAGACUCCUACGGGAGGCAGCAGUGGGGAAUCUUGCGCAAUGCGCGAAAGCGUGACGCAGCAACGCCGCGUGGGGGAAGACGGCCUUCGGGUUGUAAACCCCUUUCAGUUGGGACGAAGCUCCGUCGGUGAAUAGCCGGCUGGAGUGACGGUACCUUCAAAAGAAGCCCCGGCUAACUACGUGCCAGCAGCCGCGGUAAUACGUAGGGGGCAAGCGUUGUCCGGAAUCAUUGGGCGUAAAGAGCGUGUAGGCGGCCCGAUAAGUCCGCCGUGAAAGUCCAGGGCUG
RNAcentral lists this ribosomal RNA (600 nucleotides) under bacterium enrichment culture clone F44x_D11_T3_E05. Its description in RNAcentral is "bacterial SSU rRNA". It matches the Rfam family "Bacterial small subunit ribosomal RNA", at positions 24 to 610 of the family's 1533-position model. The record is from RNAcentral.